GACGAACGCUGGCGGCGUGCUUAACACAUGCAAGUCGAACGGAAAGGCCCUGCUUUUGUUGGUUUCUCGAUUGGCGAACGCGGGAGUGACACGUGAGUAACCUGCCCUUGACUGUGUGAUAACUUCAGGAAACUCCGGCGAAUACCGCGGAUGAUCUCCUGCUCCAUAGUGUGGGUUGGAAAGUGUCGGCGGUGGUGGAUGGACUGGCGGCUUAUCAGCUUGUUUGUGUGGUAGUGGCUUACCAAGGCUUUGACGGGUAGCCGGCAUGAGAGGGUGAACGGCCACAUUGGGACUGAGAUACGGACCAGAAUGCUACGGGCGGCAGCAGGGGGGAAUAUUGCGCAACGGGCGGACGCCUGAUGUAGAAACGCUGGGUGCGGGAUGCCGGCCUUCGGGGUGUAAACAGCUUUGGAAUGUGCCGAAGAGUGCGUGACGGUAAUGGGUAAAGAAGCAACGGCUAACUACGUG
Molecule: ribosomal RNA, 468 nt
Filed under: uncultured bacterium
Lineage: Bacteria
Description: partial 16S ribosomal RNA
Rfam family: Bacterial small subunit ribosomal RNA
Source: RNAcentral